AGAGGGGGGAUUACCCCGCCGCCCCCCGCGCGGGGAGUGGGGGGAGUGCGGGGGGCGCGGCGGGAGCGCGGCAGCGGGAGCGCGGCCAGGGAGGAGUGGAGAGGAGCGGAACGAGCCGGCGGCAUCCCCGGGUCCGGUGAGCCCCGCGGGUGGGGAGGGAGGAGAGGGGGUGUGAGUGUGCCCUGCGGCGGGGUGUGUGCGAAGCCGGGGAAACGCGUGGGUGCGAGUGUGUGUGGGAGCGUCAUCCCCACGGCUGUGCGGAGCAUCACCCAUAGGGUUCUGCGGAGCGGAGAGCGUGUGCGAGUGUGUGCGGGAGCAUCAUCCACAGUGGCGUGCGGGAGCGUGCGUGUGCUGGAGCAUCAUCCACAGGGGCGUGCGGGAACGUGCGCGUGCGGGAGCAUCACCCACAGGGGCGUGCGGGAGCGUGCGCGUGCGGGAGCAUCAUCCGCAGGGGUGGGGGGAGCGCGUUUAUGCAACGCGCGGGUGGCUGCGUGUGCCGUGACACACGCGUGCGCGGCCGCAGCACACGCACAGCGGGACGCGGCGGUGCGCGGUCCCCGGCCCCGGCCGGGCGCGGCUGAGCGGCGGGGCUCUCCCUCCCUCCCUCCCUGCGGCAGGUGCGGGAUGCGGCGGAGCGCGGCGGCGUGCUGGGCGCUGGUGCUGCUGGCCGCCACCUUCUGCGACACGGUGGCCGGCAAGGGUGGGCGCGGCGGAGCCCGCGGGGCGGCCCGCGGCGCGGCGCGGGGGGCGGCCCGCAGCCGGCCGAGGGCGGCCGUGCCCCGGUACGGCUCUGCCGGGGCAGCCCUGCGCGUGGCGGGGGCGGCGGCGGCGGGAGCGGCGGCCGGCGUGGCGGCGGGGGCGGCCCUGCGCCGGGCCCGGCUGUCCGGAGAGCUGCAAGCGGGAGACGGCGUCGAGUACCGCGACGGCAACUGGACGGCGGCCGCCAGCGCCUGGACCUCCGCCGCGCCGGCCGGGAGCCCGCCGAGCCGGGCGCUGCCCUGGCUCUGCCCGCUGGCCGCCCUCCUCCGCCGCUGA
This is a long non-coding RNA of Camarhynchus parvulus, 1035 nucleotides long. NCBI's taxonomy places the organism in Eukaryota, Metazoa, Chordata, Aves, Passeriformes, Thraupidae. The record is from Ensembl.